Long non-coding RNA from Oncorhynchus tshawytscha (Chinook salmon), 640 nucleotides. The record is from Ensembl. Lineage: Eukaryota; Metazoa; Chordata; Actinopteri; Salmoniformes; Salmonidae.
UUAAUAGCUUCACAAAUUUAUUCCUUUCAGAAAAUAACUUACAUUCCAGAACACACACAUUGUGACAGCAUAUUUCCAGUGUUCCUUUUCUUGUAAUUUUUCUUAAGUUGCAUUUACACAGGAAGCCCAAUUCUGAUCUUUUGGCCCCAAUAUUGGCAAAAGAUCUGAUCUGAUUGGGCAAGAGAUCAGAAUUGGGCAACCGGUGUGAACGUAGCCUUACACACAGUAAAGAGGUUAGACAUUGCAUUAUCAGAAGGAUUUCUGGCGGAUAUAUUUACACGUACAGUACAUUCAGAUCAACAUCAUAAAAAGGUCCAUCCUAUCAGAUCAGUGAUAAAAAGGUCCAUCCUAUCAGAUCAGCGUGAUAAAAAGGUCCAUCCUAUCAGAUCAGCGUGAUAAAAAGGUCCAUCCUAUCAGAUCUGCGUGAUAAAAAGGUCCAUCCUAUCAGAUCAGUGAUAAAAAGGUCCAUCCUAUCAGAUCUGCGUGAUAAAAAGGUCCAUCCUAUCAGAUCAGUGAUAAAAAGGUCCAUCCUAUCAGAUCUGCGUGAUAAAAAGGUCCAUCCUAUCAGAUCAGUGAUAAAAAGGUCCAUCCUAUCAGAUCAGUGAUAAAAAGGUCCAUCCUAUCAGAUCAGUGAUAAAAA